This is a non-coding RNA of Mobiluncus mulieris ATCC 35239, 96 nucleotides long. It matches the Rfam family "Bacterial small signal recognition particle RNA". From Rfam's summary of the family: The signal recognition particle (SRP) is a universally conserved ribonucleoprotein involved in the co-translational targeting of proteins to membranes. Archaeal SRP consists of a 7S RNA and homologues of the eukaryotic SRP19 and SRP54 proteins. The record is from Rfam. NCBI's taxonomy places the organism in Bacteria, Bacillati, Actinomycetota, Actinomycetes, Actinomycetales, Actinomycetaceae.
CUUGAUUCCCCGUGCGGCGAUAUCGUCUGAACCUCCCCAGGGCCGGAAGGCAGCAAGGAUAAGGGCGCUCUUUCGGGUGUACGGGGAAUCCUCUAU